Molecule: long non-coding RNA, 2019 nt
Organism: Gadus macrocephalus (Pacific cod)
Lineage: Eukaryota; Metazoa; Chordata; Actinopteri; Gadiformes; Gadidae
Exons: 2
Source: RefSeq, a predicted model, not a curated record
UGCUCAAUAAAUAUAAAUAAAUGUUGCAAAAGGCUGGAUCCAAAUGUGGUAUAUUUCGUCCUCCAGUUUUGAAGGAAAAGGAUUUUUUUGUUAACUGGAACAGAAAACGCGAGGUACUUCUACGUUUAAUUCCUGUCGGUCUCAGACUACCAAAAUGAGGCUGUAAAGAAGUGGUAGAACUUUAAUUGCAUAGCCCAUGGGAGUCCGUCGCCAUGGCAACGUUAAAGCAAUAGCUGGAGAAUUUACAGCAGUGCUGCUUCUGCACGCAGGAAAAGGCGACCUUCUGGUUCCCUACGAGACAGGGAGGAAUGGACACAGAUACGCACACAGAUGCACCCGUCCUCGCACCACACACAGACACAUGAUUUCUUACGUUUCCAUGGUGAUCCAGGCUGGGAUCACAUUGCGUGCCAUAGCAUUUGUUCCCACUUAUGCCUACUCGUGAGGUGUUUGUGGGUUGUUAUCACUACAGUUUACAUCUAAAAAUAGCAAGACAAAGCUUGGCAAGGAGAGGAAAGGUCAAGCCACCAAGAAAACCUAUGUGAGCUACAACAACCUCAGGAUCUGAAAGCCCAGCCUGCGUUCUUCCUCAUUGACCCGCGGCGGCCCGGCGGCGGACUGGGCCAGCUGCGGGGAAGGGCCUGCAGGGGGGGGAGAGAAAGGAAGGAAGGAAAGAAUGAAGGAGGCGCUCCCUCUGCACUAGCGGCCCUACGCCCGCGUAGGACCGCCGCCGAAAGCAUACCAUCCCCAUCCUAACCCGGGAGGGGGCUCCGCCCGGACAGCGGUCGGCACACAGCCGUAGGCCCGCUGUGUUUGUGUUAUUAAGUUUGACCGGCAGAACCAGACUGUUUUGGUUUUGGAUGUUGACAGCUGUGUGCCCCCCCCCCCCCCCCCCCCCCCCAUCCCUCUGUGUCCGGGACCAGGGGAGACCCUGCCUGCUGAUGCCGGUGUUUGUUCCGUGGUCUGUGGUUGUAAGUGUCGACCACACACACAGGGACAACGGACCGGAAGCACGGAUCGGAUCCGCACAUCGUUUCUGUUUAAUGGUCAUUAAAGCCAUAUCCUCCAUGGCGACUUCCAUUAUCCAAUUUUAUGUUUUGUAUUGUUGACUUUUUUCCCUCCUUGUGCUUCUUUCUUUACGAUGGUUUAACGAUGAUUAAACAACGUCAAUAGUGAGCCCUGCCAUUUUCAUUUUUAUCCAAAAAAAAAAAACUUUAAAUGACCUUUCGGUGUAAUAUUGAUAUAUCGGCAUUGUAAAAUGCAUAGCUGUAUGGAUGAGAAUUUCUGAGCAUGCCUUAAACAAAACUCUACCCACUGGCGUUGUUGUUGAGAUUAUAUGGAAAAAAACAUAUCUUGUACCGUCUAUGGCUGUGUCUCCAUGGAGUUUUUUUAAAUUUGAUUUAAUUUGAACAUCCAAUGGAAUAUUUUUUAGCCGAGGGAAUGCAAAUUAAGACGGUAGAGAGCUGAACAUUAUGCAUCGGACGCGCUGUUUUCAGUCCCUCGUAGAGGAGAGUUGCUGCAGUAAUUUAGUAAACAUCACAGCCAAACAUGUUUCAGUGAUGAUGGAUUACCUACGCCUCAACCACUUUUGACUGCCUGAGAGUUUUCCCACAGUUUUUAAUACACAGUAAUACUAUAGCAGUGAAGGGAGCCUGUUAUGAUCGAACAAAAAAAGGAAGACAAUGCUAUCUAUACAGAGAUGCACACAAACUCUGUUAAUGACCAGUGGGAUGCUAACAUAAUGUCUUUACAUCGAAGCUACGCCGGUUGGGUCCUUUGAAUUAGUCCUAUUAACCAAAAGGUGUUAUGUCAAAGCAAUGGGCCCUGUAUAUACAAUUUUUUGUAAAUAUUUGAGAGUAUUUUCAUGUUUGAAGACACAAAUAGAUAUACAGUAUUUGUUCAAUUGGCUUUGGUUGGUUAUGAAAGCACCACAGAGUAUUCACAUUGCAUGUGCCAAUGUAUGUCUGUUCAAUUUGAUGUAAACAAAAAUAGAAAAAUAAAUCGGGAAAAUGAUAAUGA